UUAAGCGACUAAGCGUACACGGUGGAUGCCCUGGCAGUCAGAGGCGAUGAAGGGCGUGCUAAUCUGCGAUAAGCGCCGGUAAGGUGAUAUGAACCGUUAUAACCGGCGAUACCCGAAUGGGGAAACCCAGUGUGACUCGUCACACUAUCAUUAACUGAAUCCAUAGGUUAAUGAGGCGAACCGGGGGAACUGAAACAUCUAAGUACCCCGAGGAAAAGAAAUCAACCGAGAUUCCCCCAGUAGCGGCGAGCGAACGGGGAGGAGCCCAGAGCCUGAAUCAGCAUGUGUGUUAGUGGAAGCGUCUGGAAAGGCGCGCGAUACAGGGUGACAGCCCCGUACACAAAAGCGCAUGUGCUGUGAGCUCGAUGAGUAGGGCGGGACACGUGGUAUCCUGUCUGAAUAUGGGGGGACCAUCCUCCAAGGCUAAAUACUCCUGACUGACCGAUAGUGAACCAGUACCGUGAGGGAAAGGCGAAAAGAACCCCGGCGAGGGGAGUGAAAAAGAACCUGAAACCGUGUACGUACAAGCAGUGGGAGCACAGGUUUACCUGUGUGACUGCGUACCUUUUGUAUAAUGGGUCAGCGACUUAUAUUCUGUAGCAAGGUUAACCGAAUAGGGGAGCCGGAGGGAAACCGAGUCUUAAUUGGGCGUUAAGUUGCAGGGUAUAGACCCGAAACCCGGUGAUCUAGCCAUGGGCAGGUUGAAGGUUGGGUAACACUAACUGGAGGACCGAACCGACUAAUGUUGAAAAAUUAGCGGAUGACCUGUGGCUGGGGGUGAAAGGCCAAUCAAACCGGGAGAUAGCUGGUUCUCCCCGAAAGCUAUUUAGGUAGCGCCUCGUGAAUUCAUCUCCGGGGGUAGAGCACUGUUUCGGCUAGGGGGCCAUCCCGGCUUACCAACCCGAUGCAAACUGCGAAUACCGGAGAAUGUUAUCACGGGAGACACACGGCGGGUGCUAACGUCCGUCGUGAAGAGGGAAACAACCCAGACCGCCAGCUAAGGUCCCAAAGUCAUGGUUAAGUGGGAAACGAUGUGGGAAGGCCCAGACAGCCAGGAUGUUGGCUUAGAAGCAGCCAUCAUUUAAAGAAAGCGUAAUAGCUCACUGGUCGAGUCGGCCUGCGCGGAAGAUGUAACGGGGCUAAACCAUGCACCGAAGCUGCGGCAGCGACGCUGAUGCGUUGUUGGGUAGGGGAGCGUUCUGUAAGCCUGCGAAGGUGGCCUGUGAGGGUUGCUGGAGGUAUCAGAAGUGCGAAUGCUGACAUAAGUAACGAUAAAGCGGGUGAAAAGCCCGCUCGCCGGAAGACCAAGGGUUCCUGUCCAACGUUAAUCGGGGCAGGGUGAGUCGACCCCUAAGGCGAGGCCGAAAGGCGUAGUCGAUGGGAAACGGGUUAAUAUUCCCGUACUUGGUGUUACUGCGAAGGGGGGACGGAGAAGGCUAUGUUGGCCGGGCGACGGUUGUCCCGGUUUAAGCGUGUAGGUGUGUGUUCCAGGUAAAUCCGGUUCACUUUAACACUGAGGCGUGAUGACGAGGCACUACGGUGCUGAAGCAACAAAUGCCCUGCUUCCAGGAAAAGCCUCUAAGCAUCAGGUAACAUCAAAUCGUACCCCAAACCGACACAGGUGGUCAGGUAGAGAAUACCAAGGCGCUUGAGAGAACUCGGGUGAAGGAACUAGGCAAAAUGGUGCCGUAACUUCGGGAGAAGGCACGCUGACACGUAGGUGAAGUGAUUUACUCACGGAGCUGAAGUCAGUCGAAGAUACCAGCUGGCUGCAACUGUUUAUUAAAAACACAGCACUGUGCAAACACGAAAGUGGACGUAUACGGUGUGACGCCUGCCCGGUGCCGGAAGGUUAAUUGAUGGGGUCAGCGCAAGCGAAGCUCCUGAUCGAAGCCCCGGUAAACGGCGGCCGUAACUAUAACGGUCCUAAGGUAGCGAAAUUCCUUGUCGGGUAAGUUCCGACCUGCACGAAUGGCGUAAUGAUGGCCAGGCUGUCUCCACCCGAGACUCAGUGAAAUUGAACUCGCUGUGAAGAUGCAGUGUACCCGCGGCAAGACGGAAAGACCCCGUGAACCUUUACUAUAGCUUGACACUGAACAUUGAGCCUUGAUGUGUAGGAUAGGUGGGAGGCUUUGAAGUGUGGACGCCAGUCUGCAUGGAGCCGACCUUGAAAUACCACCCUUUAAUGUUUGAUGUUCUAACGUGGACCCGUGAUCCGGGUUGCGGACAGUGUCUGGUGGGUAGUUUGACUGGGGCGGUCUCCUCCUAAAGAGUAACGGAGGAGCACGAAGGUUGGCUAAUCCUGGUCGGACAUCAGGAGGUUAGUGCAAUGGCAUAAGCCAGCUUGACUGCGAGCGUGACGGCGCGAGCAGGUGCGAAAGCAGGUCAUAGUGAUCCGGUGGUUCUGAAUGGAAGGGCCAUCGCUCAACGGAUAAAAGGUACUCCGGGGAUAACAGGCUGAUACCGCCCAAGAGUUCAUAUCGACGGCGGUGUUUGGCACCUCGAUGUCGGCUCAUCACAUCCUGGGGCUGAAGUAGGUCCCAAGGGUAUGGCUGUUCGCCAUUUAAAGUGGUACGCGAGCUGGGUUUAGAACGUCGUGAGACAGUUCGGUCCCUAUCUGCCGUGGGCGCUGGAGAACUGAGGGGGGCUGCUCCUAGUACGAGAGGACCGGAGUGGACGCAUCACUGGUGUUCGGGUUGUCAUGCCAAUGGCACUGCCCGGUAGCUAAAUGCGGAAGAGAUAAGUGCUGAAAGCAUCUAAGCACGAAACUUGCCCCGAGAUGAGUUCUCCCUGAGACUUAGAGUCUCCUGAAGGAACGUUGAAGACGACGACGUUGAUAGGCCGGGUGUGUAAGCGCAGCGAUGCGUUGAGCUAACCGGUACUAAUGAACCGUGAGGCUUAACCUU
This 2906-nucleotide ribosomal RNA is filed under the name Salmonella enterica. RNAcentral describes it as "bacterial LSU rRNA". It matches the Rfam family "Bacterial large subunit ribosomal RNA". Lineage: Bacteria; Pseudomonadati; Pseudomonadota; Gammaproteobacteria; Enterobacterales; Enterobacteriaceae. The record is from RNAcentral.